RNA transcript from Prunus avium (sweet cherry), 1966 nucleotides. It is a transcript of the gene named Transducin/WD40 repeat-like superfamily protein, with no coding region annotated. The record is from RefSeq and is a predicted model, not a curated record. Lineage: Eukaryota; Viridiplantae; Streptophyta; Magnoliopsida; Rosales; Rosaceae.
AAAAGAGGAGCUUGAUCAAAACAAAAAACCAAAAGAGAAGAAACCCCUUUCAACCCCGUCGGGUCGUGUACUCAGCCCCUCCCUCGAGCACCUCCCUCUAGUGCUAUAGCUACAGUCUGUGACUCUGUGUCUGUGACUGCGCAUUGCUUAUUGAAGAAGCAGGUCCAAUGAGCAAACAGAGACCGCCACCGGACCCAGUGGCUGUGCUGAGAGGUCACCGCGCCUCUGUCAUGGACCUCUGUUUUCAUCCAUCCCAACCUCUCCUAUGCACCGGUUCCGCAGACGGCGAGUUGCGGAUUUGGGACACUAUCCAGCAUCGGACUAUAUUAUCAGCAGGGUACUUCAUAUACACAAUGGUGCAUAAUGCGGCACAGGGGAUUGCUUCUGUUGCUUGUAGUUCUUCAAUUGGAGCCAAUAAAGUGAUCAGCCAGGGUAGGGACGGAACAGUGAAGUGUUGGGAUAUUGAAGAUGGAGGUCUGUCCAGGACACCUUCUGUUACAAUCAAGACAAACUCUUACCACUUUUGUAAACUUUCCUUGGUGAAGAGACCUCAUUCUAGUUCUACGCGAGUUUACGGGACUACACAUAAUGACAUUGAUGAAACAAGGGUUAGGGAGAAUGCUGAUGCGGAUACUCUAGACGAUAGCAGAGAAAAGUUUCAAGAGUAUCUGCCUGAGCAGUCCAGCACAUUUGAAGAAAAUACUCAAGUUGAGGGAUCGAAAUAUGUCGCUGUAGCAGGGGAGCAGCCUUCUGAGGUUGAGAUUUGGGAUCUUAAUACUGCAGAAAGGUUUGCACGGCUACCUCAAAGCUGCGUUGCUGGUUCCUCAGGUAUAUCUACCACACAGAGAGGAAUGUGCAUGGCGGUUCAAGCAUUCUCACCAUCCAAAUCACAGGGAUUCCUAAAUGUCUUGGUUGGCUAUGAGGAUGGUUCCAUGCUUUGGUGGGAUAUUAGAAAUCCAGGGGUUCCAUUGACCUCGGUCAAUUUUCAUUCAGAGCCAGUUCUAAGUCUAUGCGUUGAUGGGUCAUGCAAUGGUGGUGUCUCAGGAGCCGCAGAUGACAAAGUUGUGCUGUACAGUUUGGAUCAUUCCAUGGGUACAUGUGUGAUCAAGAAAGAAAUUAGUUUGGAACGACCUGGCAUAUCGAGCACUUCUAUUCGACCUGAUGGUAAAAAUUUUGCAACAGCUGGCUGGGACCACAGAGUGAGAGUAUAUAACUAUCGCAAAGGCAAUGCUCUGGCGAUAUUGAAGUAUCACCAUGCAACGUGUAAUGCUGUUUCUUAUUCACCCGAUUGCAAGCAAAUGGCAUCUGCAUCAGAAGAUACGACGGUGGCACUGUGGGAACUUUAUCCUCCUCGAACUUGAAAUGAUAUGGUGGUCCUGAAGUGGAAAUGAGUUUGUGUUCCCUAUAAUGUAAUAGAAGAGCAUCAAUAAUCAGUAUCAUUACCGUUUGUGUGCGUAUGCAAUUGAAAAACAGAGCCAAACUCGCACCCUUUCAGACGCAAAAGAAAGGGCCAAGUCGCGUUGAUUUGAUUUGGACAUUUAGUUUGGCGGCAAUCAUCCAAUCCAAUGGCAUCGAAUAGAGGUGCCACAUUCUUAGCCUCUGAUCUACAAAGCAAUGAUUGGCUUGGCUAUGCUGAAGAGGAGGUUUAUAAAUUAUUGCUUCACAGCUCUCAAUUUGAUAUCUCUUACUUCGCACAAGAAAAAGAGGACCCAUUGUUGACUAUACCAGUUAGUCUUGAAAUAUUUUUCAAUAGCAGCAGCCGGGGAAAGAAGUUGCACAUAGAUUCUGAAUUUUUCAUAACCAGCUUUCUUUACUUCCUCUUCUUGAUCUCUUUAGGGACUGACCCUAAAGUUCAAUUUCUACCUCUAGAUUAGGCUUCCAUUUUUCCAAAUUGUCGGUCGGCUUUGCUGCAAUGUUUAUGUAAUAAUAUUACCAACUCCCUCGUGAUUAUUACUAAUUAAGCCAU